AAGUCGUAACAAGGUUUCCGUAGGUGAACCUGCGGAAGGAUCAUUAUCGAGUUUUGACUGGGUUGUAGCUGGCCUUCCGAGGCAUGUGCACGCCCUGCUCAUCCACUCUACACCUGUGCACUUACUGUGGGCUUCAGAUCGUAAAACGGGUCCCUUUACCGGGCUUGCGGAGCGUGUCUGUGCCUGCGUUUAUCACAAACUCUAUAAAGUAUCAGAAUGUGUAUUGCGAUGUAACGCAUCUAUAUACAACUUUCAGCAACGGAUCUCUUGGCUCUCGCAUCGAUGAAGAACGCAGCGAAAUGCGAUAAGUAAUGUGAAUUGCAGAAUUCAGUGAAUCAUCGAAUCUUUGAACGCACCUUGCGCUCCUUGGUAUUCCGAGGAGCAUGCCUGUUUGAGUGUCAUGAAAUCUUCAACCUGCAAGCUUUUGUGGUUUGUAGGCUUGGACUUGGAGGCUUGUCGGCCGUUGUUGGUCGGCUCCUCUUAAAUGCGUUAGCUUGGUUCCUUGCGGAUCGGCUCUCGAGUGUGAUAAUGUCUACGCUGCGACCGUGAAGCGUUUGGCGAGCUUCUAACCGUCUCAGUUGGAGACAACUUUAUGACCUCUGACCUCAAAUCAGGUAGGACUACCCGCUGAACUU
Molecule: ribosomal RNA, 635 nt
Filed under: Ganoderma sp. 2 YD-2015
Lineage: Eukaryota; Fungi; Basidiomycota; Agaricomycetes; Polyporales; Polyporaceae
Description: eukaryotic LSU rRNA
Rfam family: 5.8S ribosomal RNA (bases 248-401)
Source: RNAcentral